This 497-nucleotide ribosomal RNA is filed under the name uncultured bacterium. Its description in RNAcentral is "partial 16S ribosomal RNA". It matches the Rfam family "Bacterial small subunit ribosomal RNA", at positions 28 to 507 of the family's 1533-position model. The record is from RNAcentral.
GAUGAACGCUGGCGGCGUGCCUAAUACAUGCCAGUCGAGCGAACGGACGAGAAGCUUGCUUUUCUGAUGUUAGCGGCGGACGGGUGAGUAACACGUGGAUAACCUACCUAUAAGACUGGGAUAACUUCGGGAAACCGGAGCUAAUACCGGAUAAUAUUUUGAACCGCAUGGUUCAAAAGUGAAAGACGGUCUUGCUGUCACUUAUAGAUGGAUCCGCGCUGCAUUAGCUAGUUGGUAAGGUAACGGCUUACCAAGGCAACGAUGCAUAGCCGACCUGAGAGGGUGAUCGGCCACACUGGAACUGAGACACGGUCCAGACUCCUACGGGAGGCAGCAGUAGGGAAUCUUCCGCAAUGGGCGAAAGCCUGAAGGAGCAACGCCGCGUGAGUGAUGAAGGUCUUCGGAUCGUAAAACUCUGUUAUUAGGGAAGAACAUAUGUGUAAGUAACUGUGCACAUCUUGACGGUACCUAAUCAGAAAGCCACGGCUAACUACGUG